RNAcentral lists this ribosomal RNA (407 nucleotides) under uncultured bacterium. RNAcentral describes it as "bacterial SSU rRNA". It matches the Rfam family "Bacterial small subunit ribosomal RNA", at positions 355 to 776 of the family's 1533-position model. The record is from RNAcentral.
UGAGGAAUUUUCCGCAAUGGGCGAAAGCCUGACGGAGCAAUGCCGCGUGAAGGAAGACAGCUUACGGGUUGUAAACUUCUUUUCUCAGAAAAGAAAAAAAUGACGGUAUCUGAGGAAUAAGCAUCGGCUAACUCUGUGCCAGCAGCCGCGGUAAGACAGAGGAUGCAAGCGUUAUCCGAAAUGAUUGGGCGUAAAGCGUCUGUAGGUGGUUUAAAAAGUACAUUGUUAAAUUUUAAGGCUUAACCUUAGCAAAGCAAGGUAAACUUUUAAACUAGAGUUUGGUAGAGGCAGAGGGAAUUUCCGGUGGAGCGGUGAAAUGCGGAGAGAUCGGGAGGAACACCAAAGGCGAAAGCACUUUGCUGGGCCAUUACUGACACUAAGAGACGAAAGCAAGGGGAGCAAAUGGG